GGAAAACAGACUGUUGUAUUAUGGAUCCAUCUAUUGGCUAGUAGCAGCCCAUGAGAAAUCUGGCAUGAGAACUUUGCCCAAACAAAAUGAUGACUGAAGAACACUCAUCUGAUUCUCUCUGUUGGAGAAUUUGAGUGCAAAAUACAAAGAGCGUAUUCCAGUUGCUGAUGAAAGCUGAUGCUGGAAAAGACACGAAAGUCAGGUAACAGAGAUGGCAGUGGCUGAAAGACAGACUGAAUAUGCAGAGGUUGUGAAUGCAUUCAAGUUCAGAGUGCAGAUGUCAUGACUAAGCAGAAGCUAAAAGAUACCCAGCAGUAGAGCUAGAGAGAGGAGCUGAGUCAUAAUAUUGGCAAGAGAUUGUCUAACUAAAGAAUGACAAGUUAAUGUUGGUGGUAAAAUGACUUUGGAUCCUAAAUCAUCUUCUAAUUCUCAAACUCUAUUCUUCUCCUUUGAGGUGCAGAAUAUAUCUGUUACUAGGUUAGCAAAAAUGCCGUUAGUUCUUUUUUCCAUAUUUAUUUUUACAACAAACCCUCAUUAUUUGAAGUUCUAGCAAAUACAAAAAGGUGGAAAAACCAAAGCUC
This 581-nucleotide long non-coding RNA is filed under the name Bos taurus (domestic cattle). RNAcentral's name for it is "long non-coding RNA NONBTAT025833". The record is from RNAcentral. Lineage: Eukaryota; Metazoa; Chordata; Mammalia; Artiodactyla; Bovidae.